Molecule: long non-coding RNA, 1150 nt
Filed under: Salmo salar (Atlantic salmon)
Lineage: Eukaryota; Metazoa; Chordata; Actinopteri; Salmoniformes; Salmonidae
Description: lncRNA (ENSSSAG00000111293.1)
Source: RNAcentral
UUUUGCUCUGCUGCUCUCUUUGUUUGAUGGAGUCAGACCAACAUGCAUUAAACAUGAGCAUGAUGGUAAUCUAUCCCAAUACUGGAUGGACACCAUCAACGUGUGUUUUCUUGGUGUAUUAAACACUAAUGGUGGGAGAUACUGUACACUUUCACAUGGAUAUAUGUGUACUUGAUGGCAAAGUUGCAAAGAAAAAGCCAUAUCUAGACUGGCCAAUAGAAAGAAAAGAUUAAGAUGGGCAAAAGAACAGACACUGGACAGAGGAACUCUGUCUAGAAGGCCAGCAUCCCGGAGUCGCCUCUUCACUGUUACUAUUUACACGUAAACUGCUACUUUUACCUUCCUGGGGGUACUGCUGUUGGAGGGAACAGACAACCAGACACAUCAAACCAUCUAAAUAUGUUUUACCACUAAUGUUUCAAGAGAUACUGUAGAGGCAGUGUAAACAGUGUUGGCUUAGCCAGAAUGUCCUCUGGUGCUAUGUGGAUCUUGACGUGUCCUGUAUGCACUGCUGUAGACCUACAGUAUAUGGUGUUUCAAUAUUUUGUAGUUUAUGUAUGUAGUCUUCUGUCUUUCUCCUCUCUGUGUUGUGUCGAUUUAUAGCUUUUGUGAAGCUGUUUCCUCUACUAGCCUGUUUAUGUAUUUAUAUUUGUAUUUGCUCUCAGUAGGAUGCCUUGUUAGUAGUGUCCUUGUGACUUGUAGCCCAGCCGUUGUCUCUGAUGAUUUCAUGCUUUGUUAGUGAGCAUAAUUGUCAUCAUCAUCCUCAUCACAAGGGUAGUGGAACUGAUGAUGAUGGUAAUUGUGUAGUCAGCAGGUGAGCGUGUGUGUGCUUUAUCUUCUGUGUGUACCUUGGUUGCCUGGCCUAGAUAAUGUGUGAUUAGGUGUCCAUGUCUUUGAGCUUCAAUCAAUAAUGUUUUUUUAGAUGGAGAACAGAAAGACAGCAGAAAUGUACUUUUAACAUGCUGAACUAAGGUUCACUGGUUUUUCAUGCCUUUAAAUGCAGACUUUUAAUUGAAAGCUAUACUUUAUUGUAUUCACUUCGUAACAUAAUGUAGUAUUGAAUAUUGAAAUCAAAUUAAAUGUUAUUUUUCACAUGCUUCUAACAGUAGACUAACAGUGAAAAGCAUACUUUUCUCUCCCAACAAUGCAG